AACGAACGCUGGCGGCACGUUUUAAGCAUGCAAGUCGAAUGGCAGCAGGGGCAACUCUGUGAGAAUGGCGAACGGGUGAGUAACACGUAGGUGAUCUGCCUUGAGGAUGGGGAUAGCCUGUGGAAACACAGGGUAAUACCGAAUGAGCUGACGAGACUUUGGUUUGGUUAGUAAAGGUGCUACGGCACCGCCUUGAGAGGAGCCUGCGGCUGAUUAGCUAGUUGGUGGGGUAAGAGCUUACCAAGGCGACGAUUAGUAGCCGGCCUGAGAGGGUGUACGGCCACACUGGAACUGAGACACGGUCCAGACUCCUACGGGAGGCAGCAGCUAAGAAUCUUCCGCAAUGGGCGAAAGCCUGACGGAGCGAUGCCGCGUGAUCGAUGAAGGUCGAGAGAUUGUAAAGAUCUUUUCUACAUGAGGAAUAAGUCUGGGAGGGAAUGCCCGGAUGAUGACGUUAGUGUAGGAAUAAGCCCCGGCUAAUUACGUGCCAGCCGCCGCAGUAA
Molecule: ribosomal RNA, 503 nt
Filed under: uncultured bacterium
Lineage: Bacteria
Description: partial 16S ribosomal RNA
Rfam family: Bacterial small subunit ribosomal RNA
Source: RNAcentral